UACGAAGGGGGCUAGCGUUGCUCGGAAUCACUGGGCGUAAAGGGUGCGUAGGCGGGUCUUUAAGUCAGGGGUGAAAUCCUGGAGCUCAACUCCAGAACUGCCCUUGAUACUGAGGAUCUUGAGUUCGGGAGAGGUGAGUGGAACUGCGAGUGUAGAGGUGAAAUUCGUAGAUAUUCGCAAGAACACCAGUGGCGAAGGCGGCUCACUGGCCCGAUACUGACGCUGAGGCACGAAAGCGUGGGGAGCAAACAGGAUUAGAAACCCCAGUAGUCC
RNAcentral lists this ribosomal RNA (273 nucleotides) under uncultured Bradyrhizobium sp. RNAcentral describes it as "partial 16S ribosomal RNA". It matches the Rfam family "Bacterial small subunit ribosomal RNA", at positions 524 to 796 of the family's 1533-position model. Lineage: Bacteria; Pseudomonadati; Pseudomonadota; Alphaproteobacteria; Hyphomicrobiales; Nitrobacteraceae. The record is from RNAcentral.